GAUCCUGGCUCAGAUUGGACGCUGGCGGCAGGCUUAACACAUGCAAGUCGAACGGUAACAUAAAGGAGCUUGCUUCUUUGAUGACGAGUGGCGGACGGGUGAGUAAUGCUUGGGAAUCUAGCUUAUGGAGGGGGAUAACUACGGGAACCUGUAGCUAAUACCGCGUAGAAUCGGGAGAUGAAAGUGUGGGACCUUCGGGCCACAUGCCAUAGGAUGAGCCCAAGUGGGAUUAGGUAGUUGGUG
This 243-nucleotide ribosomal RNA is filed under the name uncultured bacterium. RNAcentral's name for it is "partial 16S ribosomal RNA". It matches the Rfam family "Bacterial small subunit ribosomal RNA", at positions 15 to 254 of the family's 1533-position model. The record is from RNAcentral.